Molecule: ribosomal RNA, 459 nt
Filed under: uncultured bacterium
Lineage: Bacteria
Description: partial 16S ribosomal RNA
Rfam family: Bacterial small subunit ribosomal RNA
Source: RNAcentral
CCUACGGGAGACAGCAGUGAGGAAUAUUGGUCAAUGGACGGAAGUCUGAACCAGCCAAGCCGCGUGCAGGAAGACGGCCCUAUGAGUUGUAAACUUCUUUUGUACGAGGAUAAACGCAGAUACGCGUAUCUUUCUGCAUGUACCUUACGAAUAAGCAUCGGCUAACUCCGUGCCAGCAGCCGCGGUAAUACGGAGGAUGCGAGCGUUAUCCGGAUUUAUUGGGUUUAAAGGGUGCGUAGGCGGUCUUUUAAGUUAGUGGUUAAACGCCGGGGCUUAACUUGGAUUUGCCUUUGAUACUGUUAGGCUAGAGAUCAGUUGCGGUAGGCGGAAUGAGUUGUGUAGCGGUGAAAUGCUUAGAGAUAACAUAGAACUCCGAUAGCGAAGGCAGCUUACCAGGCUGCGUCUGACGUUGAGGCACGAGAGCGUGGGUAGCGAACAGGAUUAGAUACCCCAGUAGUC